This 90-nucleotide microRNA precursor is filed under the name Mus musculus (house mouse). RNAcentral's name for it is "mir-146 microRNA precursor family". It matches the Rfam family "mir-146 microRNA precursor family". Lineage: Eukaryota; Metazoa; Chordata; Mammalia; Rodentia; Muridae. The record is from Rfam by way of RNAcentral. RNAcentral also lists the same sequence under 1 other name.
UUGGCCACCUGGCUCUGAGAACUGAAUUCCAUAGGCUGUGAGCUCUAGCAGACGCCCUAGGGACUCAGUUCUGGUGCCCGGCUGUGCUAU